This is a long non-coding RNA of Lolium rigidum, 674 nucleotides long. RefSeq lists it as uncharacterized. The record is from RefSeq and is a predicted model, not a curated record. The transcript is spliced from 2 exons. NCBI's taxonomy places the organism in Eukaryota, Viridiplantae, Streptophyta, Magnoliopsida, Poales, Poaceae.
CACGUCAUCCCGCGGCCUGGAAGCCGAUGAACUUCGCCGCCACUACCUCCACGCCUGCUUCUGGUGCGCGCGCACUCUUGCCGGAAACAGAGACAUCUUCAUGUACAGAGGCGAUACCCCAUUCUGCAGCGACGAGUGCCGGCAGCAUCAGAUCGACACCGACGAGGCAGCGGAGAAGGGGUCCAAGAAGUCCGCGGCCACUACAAGGGAGCAGCAGAAGCAGCAGCAGAAGAACACGCACAGAGUGCCCAUCUGGGCUCGUUAGAAGCAUCAACCGAUCCAAUGGCUUACAUGCCAAAUGCUCAACUAGCAUUUAAUCUACUCCACAGCUACUUUGGUGCUAAAUUGUGUGAUCCGACGAAUCGGCUGCCAUGCAUGAUGAACAGCUUGAUGGAGCUGGUUAACCACUAUUGGAAUCCAGCUCUAGCUUGGAGGCAGAGAAUUGCUCUAUAUUAAUCUACAAGGAGAUACUAGAGGUUUGCUGUUUGCAGCACCAAGUUGACAAAAUCCAACAAAUCAUUCCCUCCUCUGUCUCACCUCCAUGUCCAGCCCGAAUUCAAUUUUUGUUGGCCUAAGAAAAGGCUGAAACCCAUGGUCGGUUUAUAUGCACAGAGUGUCGGUAAUCGAUCACUUAAUGGUAUUAUUCGAUCAUAUAUGCUAUGCCAUGUUGUUUA